This 465-nucleotide ribosomal RNA is filed under the name uncultured bacterium. RNAcentral's name for it is "bacterial SSU rRNA". It matches the Rfam family "Bacterial small subunit ribosomal RNA", at positions 338 to 795 of the family's 1533-position model. The record is from RNAcentral.
CCUACGGGGUGCACCAGUAGGGAAUCUUCCGCAAUGGGCGAAAGCCUGACGGAGCAACGCCGCGUGAGUGAUGAAGGGUUUCGGCUCGUAAAACUCUGUUAUUAGGGAAGAACAAACGUGUAAGUAACUGUGUACGUCUUGACGGUACCUAAUCAGAAAGCCACGGCUAACUACGUGCCAGCAGCCGCGGUAAUACGUAGGUGGCAAGCGUUAUCCGGAAUUAUUGGGCGUAAAGCGCGCGUAGGCGGUUUCUUAAGUCUGAUGUGAAAGCCCACGGCUCAACCGUGGAGGGUCAUUGGAAACUGGGAAACUUGAGUGCAGAAGAGGAAAGUGGAAUUCCAUGUGUAGCGGUGAAAUGCGCAGAGAUAUGGAGGAACACCAGUGGCGAAGGCGACUUUCUGGUCUGUAACUGACGCUGAUGUGCGAAAGCGUGGGGAUCAAACAGGAUUAGAUACCCCCGUAGUC